Molecule: ribosomal RNA, 403 nt
Filed under: uncultured bacterium
Lineage: Bacteria
Description: partial 16S ribosomal RNA
Rfam family: Bacterial small subunit ribosomal RNA
Source: RNAcentral
GACGAACGCUGGCGGCGUGCCUAAUACAUGCAAGUCGAACGCAGUGGGGACGGGUGAGUAACACGUGGGUAACCUCCCAUCAGAGGGGAUAACACUUGGCAACAGGUGCUAAACCUAUAUUGAAGGAUGGACCCGCGGUGCAUUAGCUAGUUGGUGAGGCAACGGCUCACCAAGGCCACGAUGCAUAGCCGACCUGAGAGGGAGAUCGGCCACACUGUGACAGAGACACGGCCCAGACUCCGACGGGAGGCAGCAGUAGGGAAUCUUCGGCAAUGGACGAAAGUCUGACCGAGCAACGCCGCGUGAGUGAAGAAGGUUUUCGGAUCGUAGAACUCUGUUGUUAGAGAAGCGGUAUCUAACCAGAAAGCCACGGCUAACUACGUGCCAGCAGCCGCGGUAAUAC